This 126-nucleotide microRNA precursor is filed under the name Trichophyton rubrum BMU01672. The record is from RNAcentral. Lineage: Eukaryota; Fungi; Ascomycota; Eurotiomycetes; Onygenales; Arthrodermataceae.
CGCGCACCAUGAUAGGCGAAGCUGCGGCCAGAGCAUGCCAGGACAGACAGACACACAGACAGACAGACAGAGAGACAGGCUCCUAGGACUCUCGACCGAACUAACCAGAGCUCAGCGGCAGCAGCA